GAUGAACGCUGGCGGCGUGCCUAAUACAUGCAAGUCGAGCGAACAGAUGAGGAGCUUGCUCCUCUGACGUUAGCGGCGGACGGGUGAGUAACACGUGGAUAACCUACCUAUAAGACUGGGAUAACUUCGGGAAACCGGAGCUAAUACCGGAUAAUAUAUUGAACCGCAUGGUUCAAUAGUGAAAGACGGUUUUGCUGUCACUUAUAGAUGGAUCCGCGCCGCAUUAGCUAGUUGGUAAGGUAACGGCUUACCAAGGCAACGAUGCGUAGCCGACCUGAGAGAGUGAUCGGCCACACUGGAACUGAGACACGGUCCAGACUCCUACGGGAGGCAGCAGUAGGGAAUCGUCCGCAAUGGGCGAAAGCCUGACGGAGCAACGCCGCGUGAGUCAUGAAGGUCUUCGGAUCGUAAAACUCUGUUAUUAGGGAAGAACAAAUGUGUAAGUAACUAUGCACGUCUUGACGGUACCUAAUCAGAAAGCCACGGCUAACUACGUG
This 497-nucleotide ribosomal RNA is filed under the name uncultured bacterium. RNAcentral's name for it is "partial 16S ribosomal RNA". It matches the Rfam family "Bacterial small subunit ribosomal RNA", at positions 28 to 507 of the family's 1533-position model. The record is from RNAcentral.